UAGGCAGGAGCUCCAGGUCUACAGAAGGAAUGAAAAACUGAAAAACGAAAACCACCCAGAGUCAUGAAAAGACAUGAAAUGGAUAUAAAAAUAAUGCGGGGCAUUAUUUAAAUGCCGUCCUGAAGUCCAAAUAGAUCCUGCCUCCUUGGCAGAUGGAUGGAUGAUAUGAACAUCCACUCAAAAAGAAUAAAGAGAAACUAUGAGCCACAGAAGAACUCUUGACCUCAAAUGCUAGAAUUGUUGAUAUUGAUAACUACGUGUUAACAAGAGCAAACUAAGUUUAUUCUUAAAUAAUCAGGAACUAAAGGUUGGCAACUUAAAAAAGUAUUCUUAAUCCUUCCAUCUCGAUACAAUCACUAUUACCAUAUUGGUAUAGGCCUCUCCAGUUUUUCUUUUAUGUCUAUCUUAUCCAUCUGUCUGUCCAUUUAGCUAUAUACCUACUUUCUUACAUAUCGAUCUAUGACCCUUCUAUUUAUUCAUCCAUGAAUCCAUCUAGACUUUACUAAAACAAAACUAGGCUCAUUUGGUACUUGACAUUUUGUAACCUAAUUUUCUAACCAAUUUACUAUAAGAAUGCAGCGAUGUCUACCUAUUUUUAUCUCAGGUUCUAAUAGAUGUAUAACAUUCCUGUGAAAGUACCAGAGUUAGUAUUAUGAUUCUUCAAUUUCUUUUGUCUUUUGCCACUCAAAGAUACUUUGAUGAACAUUAGUAUUCUUUUUUUUUUUUUUUUUUUUGGUCCAAAGUUAUAGCAGACAGGCUUUCUCUAAUGCUGAUGUGGUUUCGGGUUGAUGGAGCAAAGCAUGUAUUUGAUACAGGGUCAUGUUUAAUCCUCUGACAUAAAUCAGCUGCCCCUUGGAGUGACAGCCCUUCAUCUCCCCUAGACCCCUCCUGCAGCAGCAAGGCGGGAUGGGGGUAAGGGGCUGCCACAGCACAGGUACAUUAGUGCAGCCGUCAGAAAGCAAUCCCAGGCCGUCUUUCGCUGACAUGCUUUGACAGCACCAGCCCUCCUGGCAUCUUCACGGUGCCGGUGAUUCAGAGCUGUCAGCUAACGCAGCUGUGAGAAAAUGUUGAUGAUAGAUUUGUGGCGUGUGGCAAUGACUUCGUGACCCACAGAUGGAAAAGCAGAUACCUUUGAAAUAAGACUAGUCAGCAAGGCAAGAGGAGAAGAGAGACUUACCUUAGACACUAAAACAGAACCCUUUCUGCUACUUCCUUGAAAUUCAAGUAUCCAAUGGCUCCCCACUACUUAGAGGAAAAAUACCAAACUUUUUAGUUGAACAAAGAGGUAAGUGAUGUAAUAGAAAGCGGACUGGCUUGAAAGCCAGAAGCCACAGAUUCUGGUUGUUGUUCUGCUCCCCACUUGUUGUAUGAUGUGGGCAAAUGGCUCUCUUCAUGGGUUUAGUUUUCUCCAUCACUAAAAUGAUCAUAUGGGAGUUCCUGUCAUGGCUCAGUGGUUAAUGACUCUGACUAGGAACCAUGAGGUUGCAGGUUCGAUCCCUGGCCUCACUCAGUGGGUUAAGGAUCCGGUGUUGCUGUGAGCUGUGGUGUAGGUCGUAGAUGUGGUGUGGAUCCCACUUGCUGUGGCUCUGGCAUGGGCCAGCAGCUACAGCUCCGAUUAGACCCCUAGUCUGGGAACCUCCAUAUGCCAUGUGUGUGGUCCUAGAAAUGGCAAAAAGACAAAAAUAAAUAAAUAAAUAAAUAAAAUGAUCAUACGUGGAAGAUGUGUGAAUGUCUGAGUAAAUGAGUCGGUAAAGAGUCAUGUGUCAUUUGAAAGUCAUGUCCUGAGGGGCUCCAAUGUCCUGAGGGUACACAGUUGAGUGAGAUAAACUAGCCCCUGACUUUGGAACUUAUAUGCUUAGAGGGGUUGGGAAUAGGGGGUCAGAAAUACAGUUAUCAACUAGACUGUCAAAGAGUGAUAAGUACUUUGUUGAAGAUAAAGUAGUGGGAUAGUAGAGAUUGGGUUGAGUUGGGUUGAUUGCGUUGGGUUGGGAUGAGUUGGGUGGUCAGGAGAUGGUGACCUGGUGGCUAAGGUUGGAAUGAGCAGAUAGAAAAAGUCACAGGUGGAGCUGAGAAGAAACAGUCCAGGCUGAGGGAAGCACUAUAAAAAGGCUUACUGGCAACGGUGAACUUGGUGUUCCACUAACUAAACACAUCCUUACUGUGUGUCUGUCUGCUCCAUCACAGGGAUGUAGGGAUGCACAGGAGAUGCCCAGGCUCUGCCCUCACUGGGCUGGAGGUGAAUUGGAAGAAGGUUAAACAGGUGAUUGUGAUAGACGGAUGAAUGGGCACUGGAAGGAGGAGAGGGAACUUGGAGUACUUUCAGGAAAAUGUGACAGGAGCCUCUAAUCUAGCCUGGUAAGGAGGAGGUGCCAUUGAAGCUGAGAACAGGUCCAGCAACAUAAACAUGAAACAAGCCAGCAUGGGACUGGGAUGUGAACCUACCAUCAGUCUACCCACCCAUGCUCAAUCUUUGGCCACACUGGGAUUCUGCUGGACCCCAAGUGAUGUCACAGGGAGUCUUUAUUCAUUUGGAGGAAGCCAGGAUAUUGCAGGAAAAAUACAUGAGAUUCAUGAAGGCAUCAAUAAAACAUCCAUGCUGUCAUGUGAGGACUUAUUUCAGGAAUUCUCAAACGUGGGCUCCCAUCAGAAUCCCCUAAAGGACUUGGUAAAACACAGUGUGCUGGGUCCUGUCCUUGGCUCCUGGUUUCUGAUUCAAGAUGCUUGCGUGGGGUCUGAGAAUUUGUAUUUCUAGCAAGUUCCCAGGUGAUGGAGCUGCUGCUGGUCUGAGAACCAUACUUCCAGAAGAACUGACUUAGAAGGGGUGCUUGAGUCUCUGAGUAGGACUUUUAGGGCCAGGGGGAUAUUUUCUAAGAGUUCUUCAAAGCUGGUGAGGGCAAAAGAAGGAACAGAAUUGGAGACAGCAGCUCCCAGGCCAGGGUAUCUGGAGGCCUUGCAGAAGGAUCCUCUCCAGCCAUUUCCCCUCCUGAGUUCUUGCAGCCAGUGGAUCCCAAAGAACACCACCACCUUGCUUUGGCAUUUGUGUUCUAACAUGUAAAUACACUUAGUGUUUUUCUUAUUUUUCUGAGAAAAAGGUAGCAGGGCUUUGCCAAGCCAAAUACACAUACUCUGAACACACAUUUCAGCUUGUUCUUUUGGGUAGUUUAUCCUCAGUUCUUUUUUUCACAGUCACAUGGCUCCUGAAGUCCAUAUUAAUUCUUUGCUCAGCAACUUGCAAACACACUGCUGUUGCAGCCUCUGGGCUCUGAAUGAUGUCCAGAUGAACCCACCGGGCAGCGUGGGAGGUGAACUAGAGAGGAGUGAGUCCCAGCUUGGCACCCAUGUAACACUGAGUCUGGAUUACAGACCAACCACUUAGCAAGGAUCCUUCAGGGGAGCUGCCUAACCUUUGUCAGCCUUCAUGGAGUGGUGGGAGUGGGACAAGCAGUAGCUCCACAGGAGCAUUUGGAUCUUGGCAAGAGCUGAUGUGUGGUAAGCACAGAAGAUGCUCAGCAGGGUAGGGACUUUUGUAGCCUUCUGUCUGGUGCCGGACACCAAACUGCUGGUUCCAGGCCUAUCACCCUCUCCCACAUUUCCCCAAGCCUCCAAAACACACAAGAGUGGAUGGAAAGGCCACUGCUCCAUGUUUGCUGUUCUCUCCUCUGUGGCAUAUUUCCAGGUCCCUGACAUCUUCUGCCUGGAUUAUUGCAAUGGCCUCCAAAGGACUUCCUCUGCCACUAGAGCACCCCUCAAAUCCAUUUCCUGCCUCCUUACCAAGGAAAUCUGUGUAAAGACCAUGCGUGCCCCACCCACACUCCUCAGAGACUCUCUACCAUCCAGAGCAGGGAUCAUGUCCUUGGAGCCCACAGAAGGCAGGAGGAAACAGGAAUGAGUCCCAGGACUCUGUGUAGGCAAUGGGGAGCAGUGGGGAUUAUGGUGGACCAGAGCAUAGCUGUCUAAAGGCAUUGAAACUCAGAAUUCUGCCCAAUCUUCCAUGGGCCAAGUAAAGUUUGUCCUGGCACUGAGCACAGCUUUGGAUUACCAGCGAGUGAGAGUUCACCUGGACUAUGAAGUCCAAGGUCUUCAGCUUGGCUUCCAAGGAUUCAUCUCCUCCUUGCUCUGCCCUACCUGACUUGAAAUUCAUACAACUGUAUAACUGCUCCACACCUACCAUGAGGGUCCUUAGCUCCUACCUUAUCAAGCCUAGAAUGCUCUUUCUCUACUCUUCACAGCUUAAAGCAAAAUCAUGCUUAUUGCUUUAGAACUCAGUUCGGGCAAUACCUCCUCCAGGAAGUCUUCUUUGCACUCACUCCUGUUUCUGCCAAAUGAGUUAUGCACCUUUCCCUGGUGCCCCAGCAAUAUGUGGCUUUUCUCCAUCAUUAUACUCAUCAAGUGUUACCAUAAGCAUCUCUUUUGCAUCUUCCUCUCCUGCUAAGGUGCAAACACCUAAGAUUAGGGAUCAAGUGUUAAUUGCCUUUGUGCCCAAUGAAAAGAAAAGGAGCUGUUCAGUUAUUUUUAAAUGGAUGAUGGGGAGGUAGAUGGCCCCCACGGCGGUGAGGAGUCUGAACAGUGGCACAAGGGAGGAACACAUUAGUAACAGGCAGAAAUUGGAAGACGCAUAGACCUGGUUAACCCUCUCUCCCUUCCCAGGCAUGAAUAUCACAAGAAUGGAUAGAGAACAAUAAAAGUAAUAGAACUGAAGAGCAAGAAUGCCACUAAAAACUGACUUUAUCUCUCAGCCACUAAAAACUGUCUCCUCUUAUUGCCCUUUCAAAUUCCCAAAAGAGAAUCUGAUUGUCCAGUUAAAUCAUUUUAGGGCUUAUGGGAUAGCUGCUCACACCAGACUAGCUCAAGAUGCCAGGAUGUUGGCCACUAUGGGCAGGGGUUCUUCUUUGAUCCAAUUGGGGCAGGAUCAUAUGCAACAAAAGAUGGCACCUUCCCAGCAUAGAAGCUCUCUGAAGAGACUCUGAGUGUGGCAGGGAGUUCUCUACCUGGGUGGUAGAGAGUUCCAGGCUGAGACUAGGAUGAGGUACCUAGGAUGCAAAAUUUCAGAAGGGAUCAUGCACAGUCAUGUAGGUGCCUCACUCACCUCACCCCACCCUAAUCCUAGUGCUGAUGGGGGCGGGGGCUGAUUUGCUGCAGGACUUCCAGGAAGUCCUGUCUGUCUGACCUUCAGUUUCCUCAUCUGUAACAUCAAGGAGUCAAACUAUUUGGCACAUGAGGUUCUUUUUGGUCUUGAAGCUCCUUUAUACUGCCCCAGCUUCUGGGAUAGCUCACUCCCUCCAUCUUACCCUCUGGACUCCCCCCCCCCUUCAUCCUAGAAGCCUCAGCAUCUCUUGAUUAGCUGCCCUGACCAAGCCUGGCUUGACUUCCAAGGACCCUGCUCAUAAGCCACUUAACAAAAGCAGUCAUGAAAGAAAACAUAACAUCUGUCAAGGGCCUUCAUGGAGGACGUGCCUCACAUUCCUGCUCUCAAAGCAAAAGCAAUCCACCUUGACCUAGGGCUAUACCAGGGAGAAGUAGCCUUCAGAGGGUAGGGUGCCAUUUGGUGCCCAGAUGUGGUCAUUUACCACAUGGCCAUUGGUAGCCCUGAGGAAUGAAAGCUAUUUUCCCUUCCUAUUAAUCACUCAAAAAAGUUAUGAACAUCUUGGGUUAAAUUGACAGUUUGCAUCUUGCAGACAAAGGGGCCUAAGGUUUGAUUCCCACUUGGUAAAAGUCCAGGUAGCUUUGUUCUUCUGAGGCUAAGCGAGAGGACCAACAGAGAUAGGAAGGGGAGAGAAUGAGGAGGAGGGGAGAGGAGGGAGAGGGUAUUAUUCAUCGAGUCCAAUCUCAGAGCCAGUGCUUGAACCCAAGCUAAGAGGGUUCCAUCAGUCAUCCUCCUCCAAAGCCUGUGCAUUGCACUGUUGGGCAGCCAAGAUUAUUAGAAAUAUCUUUCAUAGUGAUGAGCCAAAGCUUACUUCUUUGACAUAUCCAUAUAUUCAUCAGUAUGGAAGAUAAAGUCAUUUUUUUAUCUAAGUAGUUACUCUUAAAGCACAUGAAGACACAUUCUCCUUGAAUUUCUUAUUUUGCAUGCAAAAAAUAAAGAAAAAUCCCUAGUCCUUUCAGCCAAUCCUUGUAUAACAUUUUCUAGGCACCCUGUCCCCUCUGGCUCAUCCUGCCCACCUCCUCUGGAAUCACAGUAUACUGGUGACCUUCGCACAGUGCAGAGCCAGAAGCACACAUGGUUGUACAAGUGUGCAGAGCAGAUCCAUCAUCUCAACAAAGAGAUGCCAUUGGGCAAUGACGGAGCCAGGAAAGAGUGUAGUUCUGUGGAUUCCCAGGUACCUGGGGCAGACGGAGAAAUGCCAAUAAACCAGCAAGAGAGAGGAGUACCCUUUGCACCACAAAAAUUUUAUGCAUGGAAUUUACCAUGUAUGUACUACCCCUCUGGGCUCCCAUGGACCUUGCAUUUGUACAAAGCCAGCACACUCACAGAUGCAGAAUCCAGACUGAGCAACUAGAUGUAUCAUUUGCAGCAACAUGGAUGGACCUAGAGAUGAUUAUACUAAGUGGAAUAAGUCAGAGAAAGACAUAGGCUAUCACUUAUAUGUGGAAUCUAGAAAAUGAUACAAAUAAAUUUCUUUACAAAACAGAAACAGACUCACAGACUUAGACAACAAAUUUAUGGUUUACAAAGGGUAAAGGGAAGGAGGGACAAAUUAGAAGCUUGGGAUUAACAGAUACAUGCUACUAUAUAUAGAAUAGAUGAGCAACUGUGUAGCAUAGGGAACUAUAUUCAGUAUCUUAUAAUAAUUACAAUGUAAAUGAAUCUCAAAAAGAAUAAGUAUGUAUAUGUAUGUAACUGAAUCACUGUGUUGUAUACCAGAAACUAACACAACAUUGUAAAUCUACGGUACUUCAAUUAAAAAAACAAAAUG
Molecule: long non-coding RNA, 6914 nt
Filed under: Sus scrofa (pig)
Lineage: Eukaryota; Metazoa; Chordata; Mammalia; Artiodactyla; Suidae
Description: lncRNA (ENSSSCG00000051950.1)
Source: RNAcentral